This 72-nucleotide transfer RNA is filed under the name Ictidomys tridecemlineatus (thirteen-lined ground squirrel). RNAcentral describes it as "Spermophilus tridecemlineatus (thirteen-lined ground squirrel) tRNA". It matches the Rfam family "tRNA". Rfam says of the family: Transfer RNA (tRNA) molecules are approximately 80 nucleotides in length. Lineage: Eukaryota; Metazoa; Chordata; Mammalia; Rodentia; Sciuridae. The record is from Rfam by way of RNAcentral.
GUGGUUGUGGCUCAGCGGUAGAGCACUCGCCUAGCAUUGUGCAAGGCCCUGGGUUCGAUCCUCAGCACCACA